AGAUGGGGACUUUAUUACCUGCCUCUCCCACCUGCUGCUUUGUAAAAUGCACCCGUGUGCCCGGCCCUCGCUUACUUCUCUGUGCUUGCUCUUAGGCACCAGCUCAUUCAAGAACACAUCUGGGGACACCCCAGUGCCACCAGCCUUCUGCUAGGGCACCCUGGGCAUAUCUUUGGGAAUAAUUUGCUAUAAAUAGUAGAUGUCAAAAGAACCAAGGAGGAGUUCUCUUGUGGUGCAGUGGGUUAAGGACCUGGCAUUGUGGCUCAGCAGCUUGGGUUGCUGGUGUGGCUCGAGUUCAAUCCCUGGCCCAGGAACUUCCACAUGCCGCAGGUGUGGCCAAAAAAUAAAUAAAUAAAUAAGCCAAUGAUAACUGCUCUUUAUUAAAAGAGGAUGAACCUACAGGAAAUGGUAACUUUUAAGGAAAAUCAAAUUUUAAUGGAAAACCAUUCGAGAGUAUGUUUUAUUUAUUAUGUAUUAUUUAUUUAACUUAUUGCCAGUGCUCUCAUUUCUCAGAAGCCUGGGGCACACGUGUGAAAUAUAAAUGGAAUAAUUAAGUCCAAUAGUUAAAAUCCCCACAAAGGGGAAAAAAAAUCAAUGCAAUAUUAUUGUUUACCAUUUAAUUGAAGAAAUCACUUAAAACAUGUAACAAUUUAAAGAAUUUAAUAAAGCCUUCACCCUCAUCUCCAGAAUAAGGAGCUGGAAUCUAACUUAAUGUUGGUCCCCUCCUGUUAUGCUUUAUAUAGCAGAACCGCAUUGAUAUUCCUCAUAGCUUACCACCGUUGUAAUUAUUUUAUUUGUUUUCAUUUUGUGUGCUUCAUUGAAUAUUUGUGAACGGUAUACAUGCAUAUACGUAUAUAUAUAUAUGUGUGUGUAUAUAUGUGUGUAUACACACACACACACACAUUUCUAUUUCUAUACUGUAAUUCUAGAUCCAGGAAUUUAUUAAGAGAAAAGGUUGUCUCUAAACACCACUGAUCAUGGGGCUUUCCUCCACUUGACUGAUGUUUUGCUAAAAAGGAAUCCUUUCCCUUCAGUCAGAGACUUCUAUAUCUUGCCAAAAAGGCAUUUUUUCUGUCUAAAGAACUAAGUCAAGCCUUUGCAAAAGUGCAGAGCAGCACCUGCUGCCCCUGAUGGGAGCGUGCUGUCAGACGUGCGUGGCCAGGUCCCCAAGCACCUGCCUAUCUUGGAUAGGGAUCCUGAUGGGUUUUGCUUAAAUUUAUUCUGCUUGUAACAUAAGCAGCAGUGGAACUUCCCCACGUGCUAAAUGGGCUGAUACGUACGUUCUGUGGAUUUGCCCUCAGCACUUUGACCAGUGCUUCUGGACACAACCAAGGUCAUGAGCAAAAAGUAUCAUAAGGCCAAGGAGUUAGGGCUCUGGCUGAAGAGCUGGGGCUCUGGGCUGAUGGGCCCUGUGGACCCGCCCUUCCUUGGAACCAAUUGCUUCCUUCAACUGCUCAGCUGUCUCUACACCUGCAGCCUCUGGGUGAUCAGGGAGCCAAGGUCAGAGUCUGGAACAUGUUAAAUCUCUCUUUCUUCCUGGGUUUCUUCUUUCUCGGGCUGAUUGUCUCUGCCUCCGUCACUGUCUCUAUAUCCUUCCCUUCUGUGAAGGACCUAUUAGCCUCUCCAGCCCUUGGUCUUCUGCAUGUGUGUUUUCUCUCCAUUCUUGUGACUGCCACAUUUCUGUGGGUUUCCCGUGGGAUUCCCUCAGGCUCCCUACAGAAUCUUGGUCUUCACGUGGCCAAAUUCCAAUCGGACCAUUAUGUACCUGUCAUAUCCUCAAACCAAAUACAGCCAUCACCAAAUCAAUCAGGUGGUUUUUUUUUCCUAAGCUUUCCAGGCUUUUCUGGCCCCUGUGUAAAUCAUUGUCAUUCGGGUCAUCUUUGCCCCUUUCCUCUCCUUUGCCCUGUUCUGUUCAUCUCAGUGCCCCCCUGCCCCCUGCAGUCCCCAAGCUCAUUCCUCUGACUCUGUGCUGACUGUGUGGCAAUUUUCUAAACAGGCUUCCUGACUCCAUUUUCUUCCCACUAAAGUUGAUACUAUGCACUGAAGAACAAUUAAUUUUCCCAAAUUACUUCUCUGUUCAUGUUAACUCUCUGAUUUAAAAAUCUCCAGUUACUCGUUAUAGCUUAAGGCAGUGGUUUCCUGGAAUUUUAGAUAUGAUAGAGCAGUAAAUAAAGCUAUUAGGAAAAAAAAUCAAAACCAGAAAAAAAUCAGAACUAGAAAAAAGUUAGGGAGGGCAAACACAUAUUCCCCCCAUAAAGACAUUUCUAAAAUCCCCAUGGGCAGUAACCAUCAUUACAUUUUAACCCUAAGCGGAGGCAUGACCAUCUCAGAAGACAACCUUUCCCACUGGAAACAACACUUUUGUGAAAAUCUCCAACUAGCGGUCACCUGAUGUCCUUGCUCCUUAGCUGGGUGACACCAGCCUGUGGAGCCCAGGGAACACUGAUGUCCUUUCUGUCCCCAUCUCUUGUCCCGCCAGCAGCUCCCUGUCUGAGUGCACCUGGACACUGACAAGGCAUAGGACAUGUUGCCUGACCUCUUCAUAGACCUCAGUUUUCUCCCCUUUAAAAUGAAGACUCAGAAAUGGAGAAGAGGUUUCUUCUAGUCCUAAAGACUGUAUGGUUCAUUAAUCAGUUUACCUAAUCAAGGUGAUAGCUCUAUUUCUUUAAAUCUGGUUUUCUGUUGCAUAAACUCCAGUUAAAGAAUGGAGGAUUAUAAGCAAGGAUUUUCCCAUCAGAGGAUGAGGAAUACAUCAGAAAUGGAACUGUUCCUUGUUCACACCUGGGUAUCUUGGCUCCUGUAAACUGGAGAAGCAGAGAACCUCCUGAGUGAACUGGACAGGGUGAUGAAAAUACACGUAUCACGCCCAUCACUUUAGUCCAGGGAUGGGGGGAUAAAACCAUCGUGAUAUCCUGAGAGAAUAUUUACCCUCCCACCUCACUUAGCUUCAAAGAACCCAUUGAUUUCACUUACACGGUUGUUUUUAAUCCCUUUGAUUUUGCUUUGGUCUCCUCCAGCCCACCCUAUCCUUCCCACCCUGACGGAGGCAGAGUUCAAAUUGAGGUAGCCAGGAAAAGGGGCCAUCCAUCAACACAGCCGAUUCAUAAUUUUUGGCAAAGGAAUGACGAGGCUUGAGAUCCCUGACCCUGGCAGAUGGAUGUGACGCCAGGAGCUGCUUUGAGGCCUUGCCGUGCUGUCUAGAAAGGGCUGAGGGAAGAUGAAUGCAAAGGAGCAGGGACACUGGGUCCCUGCGGCAAAAGCCACCUGCAGAGCAGGAUAAUCCGCCCUAGAAACUCCGCCCGGUCGAUCUAAUUUGCAAGAGUUCCUAUCAAUCCCGGUCAGAGAGGAGCAGGGAGCUGAGACAGCUUGAGGUUCUUCACUCCAACAGAUUCACCUGCAAUAUCCCAGCCCUGAGGACCAGUUGUUAUUUCAGGUCCACUCAGUGUAACUGGGGAUCCGCAAACAUGUGGUGCUGACAUCCCUCUAAAACUGAAGGAUGGUCUCAUAAAAGAAAGACAUUGCGUCCUUUCCACUGUUGCUUCAGAAUUGAAUCCUGUCCCAAGCUUGUCACAUUCCUGAGUUGAUCACAUCUGACGUCAGUCCCAUCAGGCUGAACAUCCAAGUCCCCUGGCUCCCGUGGCCAAAGGGAGGGACCUCUGGAGAGCUCUUGAAUAGGAAGGUAGAUUCUCACUUCGGGCGUGAGCAGGGAGCUUCCUGGUCCUUAGUGAUGCUUGACGAGUGUCAGGAAGAGGCCAUUAGUGGACUCACUGCUGGGAAGAGCCCAUUAACGCCCAGCUGCCGCCGUGGUUUGCAAUGUGGAGCCCGCUGUAUGUUCACAGCGUGGAAACUGCGCUUUUCUCCUGGAAAGCAUGCAAAGAGGAAUCGUGCUUCACCAUCAUGUUGAGACUUUGUCCCUCAGACACCAAAAAGCCAGGAGAAAAAUGCAAAUUGCAGCCAAUCCUCCAUGCAUUUGGUGUACAUGAGGCUUGCUUGAAAACACCGUGUGAGUGACCCAAUAUUUUUAUCUUUACGAAGAGGCAGAGAGCCAUGUGUAAAGCUUGCCUUUUGAUUUUGUUAAAUGCAAACCCCAUACUUUAAAAAUUACUAAAUGAAAAAAUAACACUAAUAAUAUUGUAUCAAAAUCCUGGGAUGGUGGCUCCCUGGAGCCUCAAGAAAGCAUCAGUUUGGGGCUCUGUGUCUCCUGUCUCAUCGGCAGGCAGGUCCAACCAGGAGAUGAGGGAUUGUAUUUGGCAGGGUUUCCAGAAAAAGAGAACCAACAGGGUUCAUGCAGGAAGAAAUUUACGAUGAGAAACUGGUGCAGGCAGUUAUGGAGCCCGAGAAACCCCCAAUCUGGGAACUCAGGAACGCCCGUGGUGUAGCUCCAGCCUGAGUGCCAAGGCCUCCCCUGAGUCCAGGGCAGCCAGCGUGCAUCACCAUGCAGAGGGAGGCCUUCAGGGGACAGCGAAGACGGCACAGCUCUCCUCCCUCCAUCGUUUCCCUUCCCUCAGGCCCCAGUGGACUGGAGGAUGCCCACCUACACUAGGAGGGGAAAACCAGCUUUGCCGAGGCCACCAACAGACAUGCUUAGUUCCUCCCAAACACCCUCCCAGACACGCCCAGAAAUCAGGAUUAACAUGGGAACCUUUUGGGCCCGUCCAAGGAGCUGUCACAGGGCCCACCCCUGUGUGUUCAUGAGCCGUCCACAGCCUGGUCACCUGCAGGGGCCUGGCUCUCAGGUUGGGGCACCUCGAGCCCCCGCCGUCAGACCACAGUGUGGUCCUGUGCCUCUCACAGCCGUCUCUGAGCUGCUUCCUCGGCAGGCGAUGUCCUUCUAUGUCUUUCCUGUUCACCGUGAGCAGGGCCCGAGCAGGGCCCAAGCAGGGAGCAGCCCAGGCAUCUGCAGGAGAGGGAGGAGAGCUCUGCGGGGCUGGGCAGGCUGGUUGGGGACAGGUCUGCUCCCGGGUCACUUUUCACUGCGGGUUGAGCCAGGCAACUGAGUGUAAAUUAAAGGCACUAACCUGGACAGGGAACCUCAUUCUAAAGACGCUGAGAUGUUUCACAGACCCGGCCUCAGAAAGGCAGGAAGUGGAGACAGCGUGUCCCCCCAGCUUCAGUGGAAAAUAAAAUUCAUCUCUAGUCUUUCACAUCUACGGGCUUUGGUCCUACUACUGACUUGGUCUCUUAUUCCACCCGAAGCCCCAGUAGGAGUUCCAAUCCAGCCCACGCCAUUUUCACCAGGACAGGGUUCUCUGAUGGCUCCCUCGCAGGUCAGGAAGGCCCUUGGUCCAGUCGGCUGAAGUGUGUGCCCUCAGGCCUACAAUCCACAGGCUCUGGAAGAAAGCAGAUUCUUUGAGCAGGUGUGAACAUGCCAUGUAUGUAGGGCACGUCUGAUCACGGCCAAGAGCUAUGACCUUGGCCCCAGCAAGGUAGACCUGAUUUCCUGGUCCUAGAGCUUAGCCAUGGUGGUGGGUGGAAAUACGCCCAAAGUGUGCAAAUGCUGGAAUUGUGAUUCUAAAGGACCUGUAAACACUGUGAAGUCUGACUCAUUUUCACCAGCUUUAGCCCCCAACUCCUAAACUCUGUCAAAACACUCUCCAUUAAUACUCGGUUAAGCAAAUGCAAUUAUUGAAUACCUGUUGCAAACGCUCUGAACAAACUGAAAAAAAACGCAUAAGUGGAAGACAGUAUCUCAGAGUUCCCAGUAUGGUGCAGUGGGAUCUGCAAUAUCUCUGCAGCGCCAGGACGCAGGUUCGAUCCCCGGCCAGCAAGGUGGGUUAAGGAUCCAGUGUUGCUUCAGCUGUGGUGUAGGUUGCAACUGCAGCUUAGAUCUGAUACUUGGUCUGGGACCCCCAUAUGCCCAGAGGUGGACAAAAAAAAAAAGAGGAAGACAGUAUCUCAAAAGCUGUGAUGAUUACAUUUGUGGACUUAGACAUGAAAGGCAAAAAUUGACUAAGAAAAAUUGUUCUAAUGGGAAACCCAGAAAACUGUGUCAUGCCAGGAGUCUGUACCAGAGUCAGUGCCGUGAUCAAUUCCCUGAAAUUCGAAUUAAUACCGCACGAAAUUCAGGAAGCUGUGGUCAAGAAAGAUAUUAGCAAGAUGCAAUUCCCAGGGCCCAGCAAUGGAGAGGCCUUCAUUACCCACCCAGAAGCAGCUUUCAAUUUCACACUGGUGUAAUUUUAACAGCCUGGAGCUCCUCGGAC
Molecule: long non-coding RNA, 6200 nt
Filed under: Sus scrofa (pig)
Lineage: Eukaryota; Metazoa; Chordata; Mammalia; Artiodactyla; Suidae
Description: lncRNA (ENSSSCG00035002720.1)
Source: RNAcentral